Molecule: long non-coding RNA, 2426 nt
Organism: Passer domesticus (house sparrow)
Lineage: Eukaryota; Metazoa; Chordata; Aves; Passeriformes; Passeridae
Exons: 6
Source: RefSeq, a predicted model, not a curated record
AAUUAUUCUAGUGGCUGUGCCAAGAGGAUUAGGCAAUUCCCAUCUGGAGAAUGAUGGCCAUCACGAGGAGCUCCUGAUCAGCACAAAGCCACUUUCCCGUGGUGAUGUCUACCUGCUGGAUUCCCCGAUGACGUGGAUUACUGGUCCUCUUGGCUUGCCUCUUCUGCUUCACUGCAGCUCUCAGAGUGGAAUCCAGCAUUCUCUGCUAUGACAGCAGGAUCAUCAUCACAGCAACAGCAGCACUCCCCAGUGCUCUGGCUGGGAGGAAGGUCAGUCUUCUCCUCCUUGACGAGAGUUACAUCAUCCUUUUUCUGCAUUAAAUCCUGACCACCCGUUCCCAUGGCCAAGCAACCUCUUGCAAAGUUUUGAACACUGGCUUCUGGAAAAGGAAGGAUAAAGUUAACCAAAACUUGGAAAGGAUCUGGAACUCACAGUCUGGAGAAACCUGCUGAGGAGUGUGAUCCUUCCUCAACAUCUGCAUGUGCUCUGCACUUCAGCUGGGUAUAGUUUAUCCCUUUACCCAAAAAGCCUGCAAUUUAAACAGGUAAAGGAAGGCAGGUAAAGCCAAUGUGAGAGAAAGAUGAAAGUGACACACAAAAAAGAGUUAUGAUACAAAAGACAUUACAGAAAUUUCUUGCCUUUAAAAGUGUGUUAGGUAAGAAUUAGGGUGCAGUGCCUUAUAUGAAGUAUUAUAAGGAAUGAAAUUCUGAAUCUGUGCCACAUGUGUAGCUUGUGAGGCUGACCAAAAUUUCUCACAGUCAUUAGUCUCAAGAGUCUAAAAUCUCUCAUCAUGACCAUUAAAUGUGCAAAUUGGACAGAUCAUCCUUUCAUUAUAGACAGUCAACAAUGCAGCCUGGUGGGGAGGUGGGGGGCAGAAACAGGAAGGAAGAUUUAAGAAUGGAAAGAAGGUGUUACAUUUAACUGUCACUUGCCCUUUAGAAUUACAGGGAGAGGACUGAGAUUUUUAUCAGAUGGAAAGCAAACUUUUGACUUGUUCUACACUGCUGGAUCUAGUAAUUAAUUACUGCUUAGGUUUUCCCCUUACCAGCUGCUGGGACUGGAGCAGCACUCCAAGAGGUACUUUGUGGCACUCUGCCUGAAUAGGAAUGAUGGCUACUCCACUAAGGGCAGCAAAGGCACACUGGUUUAAAUGUAGCAAUUCCAACUGAUAUGCUGGUUUGGAAGGAAGUCCCCUCAGUUUGUUUGGAGGUUCGUCUUCAACUCAUGAAGAAAAUAAGCAAAUCCAAGUUUCUGGUUGCUGCUUUCUACAACAGAGGCUGGCUGUUGCUUUGCCAUACCUGGUGUAAAGGGCCAUAGUCUCACCUGGGGUCUUUCAGCAUUAGCUGAAACUUGAUACCAGUUAUUUCUGUCUCUGACCUUUCUGUGUAAGGGUUUAAUUGCAGAUCAAUAAAUAAAGCUCAAGUCAUUUUUACUCUCUUAUUCUUUCCUUUUUAUUUAAAUCUAUCAAUAUCCAGACUGAAAAGACUUGCUCAGUACUCUAACUACACUUUCUAACCAUAGGUUUUAUUUUAAUAGAUUUAUCCAGUAUUAGUGAAAUUAAUGAGUAGAUUAAGCAAGCUUCAAAGUGUUUGAAAACAGCUAUUUGUGCCAUCAAGAGGUGCCUUUCCCCUCCUCUUCAAAGAGGCAACAUACAAAAUUCUUCAUUAGAUUCAGAUUCUCAUUUCCCCUGAGACCUUUAGACCCAUCUAUAUAAAUAGUCUGGUUGAACAAAGAAGGGAAGUUCUACUAAAUAGAGGCUUUGGGCCAAUAACACAGAGUAGAACAAAUACUGGAUCAGACCCUAAACCGAUUUUCCCAGUAAAAAAAAAAAAAAAAAAAAUCCCAUCCUGAGAAUCAGCACAAUAUCUGGGCAGUUCCUAAGCCUAUUCCUGUCAGCUUAGAGGAACGUGUAGAGCAUUGUGUCAGCUCUGCAGCACAGAGAUGAGUGGCAGUCAAAGCAGGAUCCUUCUGCACUAACAAAACCAGGGCAGUUCAGGGGCUCUCCCACUGGGAACUGCUGAACAUGGGCAGGUUGGGCACCUUGUCUGCCCGAGACUGUACAGGGCACAGCCCAAAGAGGGCAAAACUGCACUCAAGGAGAAGUGGUUUGAGCCAUACAUUAACAAAAUGUGCAUGUUCAGCACAGGAUUCCUACAGGAUAGGUUAAAACAGGCCUUGGAUGAUCCAGACAAAGUUAACAUGAUUUACAGCCAGAACAGCUCUCAUUUUUUGCAAACCUCACCUCCAUAUUUAUGGUAUUUCAGUUUUUAUUUUCAGGGGUUUUUUUUUCUCACUGCAGUUAAGCAGUGUACUAUUGAUCUGUUCUUCUUAUGAAAAACAUAGACUUGUUUCCAGUGUUUCUUUGUAACACAGACUGGUGACAUCAGAUUUGUAGGAAACAUUAAUAAACAUAAUAAAAUUUUGAA